GGCCCCGUCGUCUAGCGGCCCAGGACGCCGCCCUCUCAAGGCGGUAGCGCCGGUUCGAAUCCGGUCGGGGCUACGA
RNAcentral lists this transfer RNA (76 nucleotides) under Micromonospora rosaria. RNAcentral describes it as "tRNA-Glu". It matches the Rfam family "tRNA". Rfam says of the family: Transfer RNA (tRNA) molecules are approximately 80 nucleotides in length. Their secondary structure includes four short double-helical elements and three loops (D, anti-codon, and T loops). Further hydrogen bonds mediate the characteristic L-shaped molecular structure. tRNAs have two regions of fundamental functional importance: the anti-codon, which is responsible for specific mRNA codon recognition, and the 3' end, to which the tRNAs corresponding amino acid is attached (by aminoacyl-tRNA synthetases). tRNAs cope with the degeneracy of the genetic code in two manners: having more than one tRNA (with a specific anti-codon) for a particular amino acid; and 'wobble' base-pairing, i.e. permitting non-standard base-pairing at the 3rd anti-codon position. The record is from RNAcentral. RNAcentral also lists the same sequence under 1 other name. Lineage: Bacteria; Bacillati; Actinomycetota; Actinomycetes; Micromonosporales; Micromonosporaceae.